RNAcentral lists this ribosomal RNA (550 nucleotides) under Trichoderma koningii. RNAcentral describes it as "eukaryotic LSU rRNA". It matches the Rfam family "Eukaryotic large subunit ribosomal RNA", at positions 63 to 636 of the family's 3401-position model. Lineage: Eukaryota; Fungi; Ascomycota; Sordariomycetes; Hypocreales; Hypocreaceae. The record is from RNAcentral.
AACCAACAGGGAUUGCCCCAGUAACGGCGAGUGAAGCGGCAACAGCUCAAAUUUGAAAUCUGGCCCCUAGGGUCCGAGUUGUAAUUUGUAGAGGAUGCUUUUGGUGAGGUGCCGCCCGAGUUCCCUGGAACGGGACGCCGCAGAGGGUGAGAGCCCCGUCUGGCUGGCCACCGAGCCUCUGUAAAGCUCCUUCGACGAGUCGAGUAGUUUGGGAAUGCUGCUCAAAAUGGGAGGUAUAUGUCUUCUAAAGCUAAAUAUUGGCCAGAGACCGAUAGCGCACAAGUAGAGUGAUCGAAAGAUGAAAAGCACCUUGAAAAGAGGGUUAAACAGUACGUGAAAUUGUUGAAAGGGAAGCGCUUGUGACCAGACUUGGGCGCGGCGAAUCAUCCGGGGUUCUCUCCGGUGCACUUCGCCGUGUUCAGGCCAGCAUCAGUUCGGCGCGGGGGAAAAAGGCUUCGGGAACGUGGCUGCUCCGGCAGUGUUAUAGCCCGUUGCAUAAUACCCUGCGCUGGACUGAGGACCGCGCAUCUGCAAGGAUGCUGGCGUAAUG